ACAUUAAAAAUUGAGUAGGAUC
Molecule: small nuclear RNA, 22 nt
Filed under: Arabidopsis thaliana (thale cress)
Lineage: Eukaryota; Viridiplantae; Streptophyta; Magnoliopsida; Brassicales; Brassicaceae
Description: snRNA_11542
Source: RNAcentral